This 254-nucleotide unclassified non-coding RNA is filed under the name Alternaria echinaceae. Its description in RNAcentral is "partial contains 5.8S ribosomal RNA, internal transcribed spacer 2, and large subunit ribosomal RNA". The record is from RNAcentral. Lineage: Eukaryota; Fungi; Ascomycota; Dothideomycetes; Pleosporales; Pleosporaceae.
CGCACAUUGCGCCCUUUGGUAUUCCAAAGGGCAUGCCUGUUCGAGCGUCAUUUGUACCCUCAAGCUUUGCUUGGUGUUGGGCGUCUUUUUGUCUCCCCUUGCGGGAGACUCGCCUUAAAGUCAUUGGCAGCCGGCCUACUGGUUUCGGAGCGCAGCACAAGUCGCGCUCUCUUCCAGCCCCAAGGUCUAGCAUCCAACAAGCCUUUUUUUCAACUUUUGACCUCGGAUCAGGUAGGGAUACCCGCUGAACUUAA